GACGAACGCUUGCGGCGUGCCUAAGAAAUGCAAGUCGAGCGAGGAUUCACGCUGACCGAAGCUUCGGCAGAGGUCUUGUGAAGCCUAGCGGCGAACGGUCGCGUAACACGUAAGCAACCUGCCCUGAAGUGUGGGAUAGCCCUCCGAAAGGAGGAUUAAUACCGCAUGUGGAUACGAUGUCGCAUGGCAACGUAUCUAAAGCAGCAAUGCGCUUCAGGAUGGGCUUGCGGCCUAUCAGCUAGUUGGUGGGGUAACGGCCUACCAAGGCGACGACGGGUAGCUGGUCUGAGAGGAUGGUCAGCCGGAUUGGGACUGAGACACGGCCCAGACUCCUACGGGGGGCAGCAAUUAGGAAUCUUGCGCAAUGGGGGAAACCCUGACGCAGCGACGCCGCGUGCAGGAAGGAGCCCUUCGGGGUGUAAACUGCUGUCGUGUAGGGAGAAGGGUACUAAGGUGAACAAUCUUAGUACUUGACGGUACUACAGGAGGAAGCCCAGG
RNAcentral lists this ribosomal RNA (498 nucleotides) under uncultured bacterium. RNAcentral describes it as "bacterial SSU rRNA". It matches the Rfam family "Bacterial small subunit ribosomal RNA", at positions 28 to 496 of the family's 1533-position model. The record is from RNAcentral.